Cyanistes caeruleus (blue tit) is the source of this 1188-nucleotide long non-coding RNA. The record is from Ensembl. NCBI's taxonomy places the organism in Eukaryota, Metazoa, Chordata, Aves, Passeriformes, Paridae.
CUUUAAAAUUAUUAAGCUAUGAACACAAAGAGAAAAUAUGAUAACAAUUUCUAUUUGUUUAUGUAAAACACUUCCUGGUUACUCACACUGUAGCAGCUGUAUUCUGAUAAUGGCAUGUUUUUUGAUAAAAAGCAGAAAAUUGGCAUUUUCUGAACUAUUUUUACAAACCCCAGCACCACAAUACCAGUUUGGACUGAGGCAUCAGUUUUUAGGAGAUACCAUUUAAUUAUCUUCAUUUUCUUUGGUGCCUGCCUCAAUAUCUACUGUAUAGGCAUUUAAGACCUUAGCCCUUAACUACCCCUUUGGACAUGAGAAAAAUUCACAGUUCUCACGUAAAAAAAAUUGUAGGUCCCUACCCGGUACAGAAACCACACCUGUGAAGAAAACAGCCUGACUACAAAAGAUUUAGCAGCAUGAGCUACAACUCAAUGCAAGUAAGAGGCCAAAUUUAGAUACCAAACCAAUAUUACAUGGAGGAGAUGAUUAUACAGGGAUUUUGAAGAGUUAAUGUGGUGUGUCAAUAAAGAAGUGAAUUUAUAGCGCACCAAUUCAAAAAUGCGGAAGUGUACACUCAUUACUUUCAUUCAUACUACAGUCAGUCGCACUACCUCUCUACCUGAAAUGGGAGUCAUUAUUUUGUGACUUUAAACUAUUCUACUUUUGUUUUUCAGUGACCCACAUUUCACUGGUCCAAUUAUCCUGUUCAACUCAAAUACCAAGAUCCAGUUGCGUGAACGCCUACCCACCCACUACUUUUAAGUUCACACGUAGCUACGAAGUGAGUACUCUCGCCCCUAAUACGCGGUUUUCUGCCCGUUCCCACGCACGACAGCCAGUGUCGAGGCCUGGAGGUGCCUCGGCCUCCAGAGCCUUCCUGAAACGCCACAAAGCAGGCGCCACAACACCGGGCAGAUCCAAAUCCGCGAGGAGAGAAAGGAACUGGGCCACUUCAGUGCAAAGUAAUAAGGCUUCGCAUUUCUACAAAUCAGAACAACAAACCAAGACUCUUGAUGUCACUGUGAAGUGUGCCCCUGCUUGGGUGACCUCUACAUCUGGCUGAGGGAUAAAUCCUUGCAUCCGCUGAGUGAGAGCUAGGCUAUACUUCAUUUGCAGCUGGCUAAUUAGUAGAAGAGGCCCCAGGGUAGCCAUGCUCCACUUAAAAUAAAAAUCUUUCAAACUUCUAAAACA